CUCUUGCAUUCUAUGAUGUUUCCAGACACUCUGUGCAAAGAACAGAGGCAAGCCUCCAGCCAGGAGCUCAUGAAAUCAUGAACUGAGGCCUCAGUGCAAUAGCUCAUGAGGAAAUGAAUUAUUUCAACAGCCAGAUUUGAUAUCAAAGUAAUGUCAAGUGCUUCUGACCCACUGCAUUAAACGUGUGCUGAGCAGUUGGUGGUAGAAGACAUUAUUGUGAAGGCUGCUCACCACCAAUUUCAUCACUGUUGCUAACUCCAGCUCAUCUAAUCUCUGCAACAUCUGCUACCAGCACCUUCUCUUGCCUCCUUUUGUGAACAUAGUUUUUUCUUCUGGUUAGAAAAUCAGUUCGAACUUCUUGAGUUUUGUGUUUUAAACUCUUCUCAACUGUUCCGAUGAUUGAUGGAUGGCCCAGAGGCGACCUCUUUAUCUCCAGCAACAUAUUUGGCUGUUGGCCCGGUAGAGAGGUACUCCAGAAGCUUGCUGGUUCAUCAUGCUCUCAUCUUUAACCACAACUAUUUAUCUGACUCCUUCCAUCUCCACAGCACUGUGUGAGGGAUCAGUGAUAAGAGACGGUGAAAGACAUGCGCAAAUGGAUAAAUAAUAAGCAGGAUAUGUAGAAUGACACAACAAUUGAUGAGUAAUUUAGGAGAUCCAAUAACUAAAAAAAAAAAGACUGGGGACAAGUUCAUGGAAAGAGUAAUCAACUAAGCCUUAUAACAUAAAAUUGACAAAUAGAGAAGGCAUGCAAUCCAGUAGAAUAGAGUGCAAAAGAGGUAGAAGACUAAUCGUUUCAAGACAUGUUGAGCCACAACAGCAAUAACAUUGUGACAAAAAACGUCGGUGUAGACUGCAGAAGAUCUUCAAUGACGGAUCAAGCUGUAUAGACUUUUUUUUACCCUCAUAUACUGAAUAGUCAUUUAAGGUAUACAGUGCCAACGUAAGAGAGAAAGGUAAACUUUUUUUAACACAAGUUGUAGGCCUUGGAAAGAAGUUUUCCAGUAACAAGAUAACACGAUAAUGUACUGUGGUUAUAAGCUCAAAGUGGUAUAUUUGAUUCAGUGUUCCCAGAACCACCAAAACCUUGGAACCAUUGUUUAGCUAAAGCUACUAGAACAACAGAAUAACCUACUCUGUGGCAUUGUAAAGUAAAAUUAUACUACACACAAAUACUUGACAUAAAAUACAUUUCCAAACUCAAUUAUUAGGGAUAACAUAAGCACAAAAUGAUGCUUUGCAAACAUCAUGUAUCCUAUAACUGGAGAAAAAAAAUUAAUGACAUGAAGUGAAAUGACUGAGUUCUGAAGCUACAUCUCAAUUUAAAUAGCAUAAGCAAUUUAGUAUACAACAUUCUUCAAAAUCAAUUGUUGAAGGUUAACUAUAAUCUACAUACAAAAACAACUUUGUCAACUUUUUGUACGGAUUUUCCUUCUAAACAUAUUUACUUUAUGUGUAAAAUCAAAAAAUUUCCUGAGUUAAAGGCUAAGACUUGACUUUAUGAAUACAUGCCCAAAAAUUGGUGGUGGCUGGUUUCUGUUUUUAUUUUGUAAGCUUAGUAUAAUGGUUGUCCAGAACUUGUAAGCAAUGACCUCAUUUCUAAGCGGACAAGAUGCAAAAGACCAUUUUUACAGAUUAACCAUCUGGUUCCUUUAGGAAGAGUAAUAUUUCAACAGGUUCCUGUAUUUCAAGAAUAUAAAUAAUUAAAAAGAUGAAGAUAUGUGAAAUACACAAAGAAAAAAAUAGAGAAAAUAGCAUUUAAAGCAAAUUAUCCUAGCUCCCUCAAUUAAUAUUUUAAAACCAUGACAAUCAGUUAUUAAUAUAAAUUGUUAAUUUUAUUUAAUACAACAUCAAUAUAAUUCAUACCAUCUUCUUCAACUAGGUGGUCUAUCAUUUUGGAGUUUCUUUCCACCUCUGGAGAAUUGCUCAGGAAAUCUGGCUAACAUACCAAAUAAAUCAAAUGGAUUUAAUGAGAUGGUUUUUGGCUAGUUUCUAUAUUCUUGUAUACACAUGCAUGUAACACAUAAAUGUGGUGCUGUUCACAGUUAGAGGCGCAAGAGAAAAAAGUAGCUUUC
This 2072-nucleotide long non-coding RNA is filed under the name Homo sapiens (human). RNAcentral's name for it is "HSALNT0339347". Lineage: Eukaryota; Metazoa; Chordata; Mammalia; Primates; Hominidae. The record is from RNAcentral.